AAGGGCACUACCAGGAGUGGAUCCUGCGGCUCAAUUUGACUCAACACGGGAAAGCUCACCUGGUCCGGACACUGGAAGGAUUGACAGAUUAAGAGCUCUUUCUGAUUCAGUGGGUGGUGGUGCAUGGCCGUUCUUAGUUGGUGGAGCGAUUUGUCUGGUUAAUUCCGAUAACGAACGAGACUCUAGCCUACUAAAUAGGUGUUCCGAUCCCAUCAGUCGGACGCUCUUCUUAGAGGGACAAGCGGCGUUUAGCCGCACGAGACAGAGCAAUAACAGGUCUGUGAUGCCCUUAGAUGUCCGGGGCCGCACGCGCGCUACACUGAAGGAACCAGCGUGUGUCCCUGUCCGGCAGGACUGGGUAAUCCGUUGAACCUCCUUCGUGAUAGGGAUAGGGGCUUGUAAUUGUUCCCCUUGAACGAGGAAUUCCCAGUAAGCGUGAAUCAUCAGUUCACGUUGAUUACGUCCCUGGCCUUUGUACUCACCGCCAGUCGCUACAACUGAUUGGAUGUAUAAUGAGUU
This 519-nucleotide ribosomal RNA is filed under the name uncultured eukaryote. Its description in RNAcentral is "bacterial SSU rRNA". It matches the Rfam family "Eukaryotic small subunit ribosomal RNA", at positions 1160 to 1707 of the family's 1831-position model. The record is from RNAcentral.